RNAcentral lists this long non-coding RNA (456 nucleotides) under Manihot esculenta (cassava). Its description in RNAcentral is "long non-coding RNA (MESC_LNC001507)". The record is from RNAcentral. Lineage: Eukaryota; Viridiplantae; Streptophyta; Magnoliopsida; Malpighiales; Euphorbiaceae.
UGGUGCACGGCCUGCAUAUAAUAUCUGAGCUUGUCCGAAUGUACCGUGCAUCACACUUGGGUAACCGAACGUUUGCCCAGGGGAACAGUGAGAAAUGCUUAUGGGAAUCAACUUGUUCAGUUCCCCUAUAAUAACGAGACAGAGCUCAGCCGACCUGUAGAGCUCGCUUUCCGUACUAGGAUAGUCCCUGGAAUUAAGACUAAGAUAGCAGAGCAGAUGUCAGUGAUGUAAACGUAGAUGAUGAUGUAUGUGGUUAUGUAAAUCCUUUAAGGAUAGUCUUUCAUCCUGUAGUGUAGGCCUUUGUAACGUGCUGUAAUGUACUUUUCUUUUAAUGAAGUUCUUGUUUUUUACUCAUACUUGUUCUUUCUCUGUCAUGGAUGAAGUACUGAUACUGCUUUUCUUCGUAGCUUUAGCCAACUAAAUUUUGUUUCGUUUUUUCCGAGCUGAGCUGACCAU